Molecule: ribosomal RNA, 502 nt
Filed under: uncultured bacterium
Lineage: Bacteria
Description: partial 16S ribosomal RNA
Rfam family: Bacterial small subunit ribosomal RNA
Source: RNAcentral
GACGAACGCUGGCGGCGUGCUUAACACAUGCAAGUCGAACGGUGAAGGGGUCUGCUUUUGUGGGCCCUGGAUGAGUGGCGAACGGGUGAGUAACACGUGAGUAACCUGCCCCCUUCUUCUGGAUAACCGCAUGAAAGUGUGGCUAAUACGGGAUAUUCUGGGUCUGUCGCAUGAUGGGUCUGGGAAAGAUUGCGCCUUUGGGUGUUUUUGGUGGGGGAUGGGCUCGCGGCCUAUCAGCUUGUUGGUGGGGUGAUGGCCUACCAAGGCGGUGACGGGUAGCCGGCCUGAGAGGGUGGACGGUCACACUGGGACUGAGACACGGCCCAGACGCCUACGGGAGGCAGCAGUGGGGAAUAGUGCACAAUGGGCGCAAGCCUGAUGCAGCGACGCCGCGUGAGGGAUGGAGGCCUUCGGGUUGUAAACCUCUUUCGCCAGUGAAGCAGGCCUGCUCCGUGUGGGUGGGUUGACGGUAGCUGGAGAAGAAGCGCCGGCUAACUACGUG